GUCCGUCACGGGCGUUCGAAAAAUGUGGCGUUUAGGAGGUCGCGUGCCGGGGUCGGGCCUGGCAGCAAGUCCCCCUGACCGGGGCUGUUACCCAGAGCGGGUGCGAGGCCCAUAGUUGCCGAGCCCGCUCCGGAUGCGACCUCUUGGGAGUCGGGUUGCUUGGGAGUGCAAUCCUAAUCGGGUGGUAAACUCCACCUAAGACUAAAUACGGCCGUGAGACCGAUAGCAAACAAGUACCGUGAGGGAAAGUUGCAAAGAACUUUGAAGAGAGAGUUCAAGAGUACGUGAAACUGCUCAGAGGCAAACGGGUGGGCCCUCGAAAUCCUCUGGCGGGAGGAUUCAGUUAGGAGGGGCGGAGGUGGCGCGCGGUUUUUCGGACCCUUUUCCGGGGCCGGGCCGCCGACACGGUCUCCGCUCCGCCUGACGCAUUUCCUCCCGCACCAUGGACGCCGCAGCCGGUUGGGUAGCUGCGCGAGUCGGCCAUGAGGGCGGGCGACGGCAGGUGGCCGGUGGGUCGGCUCUUCUCCGCCGGUUGUUAGCCGGUCCGUCCGUGGCGCGACACCCGACCGAGGUUGUAUCCCCGCUCUCCGGGGACGAGCCGCCCCCUUCCGGUGUUUCGCCGCCCCACUCUCGUAGUGGACGGCGCGCCGAGAUCGCCGUUGGGGUGCAGCGGCUAGCGGCGAGUGAGUCGGUCACCCACCCGUCCCGUCUUGAAACACGGACCAAGGAGUCUAACAUGUGCGCGAGUCACGGGGUCUUGACUAGGCCCGGAGGCGCAAUGAAAGUGAGGGUCGACCCGACGUCGGCUGCGUUGGGACUCCCCGGCCCCCGCGCCGGGGAGGCACCAACAAUCCGGUCUGUCCGAUUUAUCGGUUGGCCGGAACCGGAGCGUACACGUUGGGACCCGAAAGAUGGUGAACUAUGCGUGGGCAGGGCGAAGCCAGAGGAAAC
Molecule: ribosomal RNA, 951 nt
Filed under: Orchestina saaristoi
Lineage: Eukaryota; Metazoa; Arthropoda; Arachnida; Araneae; Oonopidae
Description: eukaryotic LSU rRNA
Rfam family: Eukaryotic large subunit ribosomal RNA
Source: RNAcentral